RNAcentral lists this ribosomal RNA (2869 nucleotides) under Coprobacter secundus subsp. similis. RNAcentral describes it as "23S ribosomal RNA". It matches the Rfam family "Bacterial large subunit ribosomal RNA". The record is from RNAcentral. Lineage: Bacteria; Pseudomonadati; Bacteroidota; Bacteroidia; Bacteroidales; Barnesiellaceae.
AGUAAACAAGGGCGCAUGGAGGAUGCCUAGGCUCUCGAAGGCGAAGAAGGACGUGAUAAGCUGCGAAAAGCUACGGUAAGGAGCAAAUAUCCGCUGACCCGUAGAUCUCCGAAUGGGGCAACCCGUCGUCGCAAGGCGACACACUGCAAGUCAGUGAGCAAACGUGGGGAACUGAAACAUCUCAUUACCCACAGGAAAAGAAAAUAACAAUGAUUCCGCUAGUAGUGGCGAGCGAACGCGGAAGAGCCCAAACCGUUCCUGUUUCGGCAGGAGCGGGGUAGAAGGACCGCCGAUAAAGGCAAGAGCGGAGGAAGUCGAACCAAUUGGAAAGUUGGAUCAAAGAAGGUGACAAUCCCGUAGACGAAUCCGAAGCGAAGCCGAGGCGGCACCUGAGUAGUGCGGGACACGAGAAAUCCUGUAUGAAUCCGCGGGGACCAUCCCGUAAGGCUAAAUACUCCCGAGAGACCGAUAGCGAACCAGUACUGUGAAGGAAAGGUGAAAAGAACCUCGAACAGAGGAGUGAAAUAGACCCUGAAACCAUGCGCCUACAAGCGGUCGGAGCUUCUAUAUGGAGUGACGGCGUGCCUUUUGCAUAAUGAACCUACGAGUUACUUUUGUUGGCCAGGCUAAGGGCUUCAGGCCCGGAGCCGAAGCGAAAGCGAGUCUGAACAGGGCGUCAUAGUCAGCAGGAGUAGACGCGAAACCAAGUGAUCUACCCAUGAGCAGGUUGAAGGUUGGGUAACACCAACUGGAGGACCGCACCGGUAAACGUUGAAAAGUUUUCGGAUGACUUGUGGGUAGGGGUGAAAGGCUAAUCAAACUUGGAGAUAGCUCGUACUCCCCGAAAUGCAUUUAGGUGCAGCCUUCGGGUUCGAGUUGAAGAGGUAGAGCGACUGAUAAGAUGCGAGGGCUUCACCGCCUAUCAAGUCUUGAUAAACUCCGAAUGCUUCAACUCAAGACCGAGGAGUGAGGGCAUGGGUGCUAAGGUCCAUGUCCGAGAGGGAAACAACCCAGACCAUCAGCUAAGGUCCCGAAAUAAUAGCUAAGUUGAAUUAACGAAGUAGAAUUGCAAAGACAGCUAGGAUGUUGGCUUGGAAGCAGCCAUUCAUUUAAAGAGUGCGUAACAGCUCACUAGUCGAGGAAUUCUGCGUGGAUAAUAAUCGGGCAUAAGCUAUUUACCGAAGCUAUGGAAUAUGCAAAUAUUGGUAGGGGAGCAUUCCACGGGUCGCAGAAGGCCUGUUUUGAGACAGACUGGAGACAGUGGAAAAGCAAAUGUAGGUAUAAGUAACGAUAAAGGAGGCGGGAAACCUCCUCGCCGCAAGACCAAGGGUUCCUGAUCAACGCUAAUCGGAUCAGGGUAAGUCGGGCCCUAAGGCGUAGCCGAACGGCGCAGCCGAUGGCAGAAACGGUUAAUAUUCCGUUACUGAAUGUAGGAGUGACGCGGAGACGGAGCAGUGACACAUCCGCCUGCAGACGGAAUAGCAGGUUGAAGAGUGUAGAUAUUGUCCCGGUAGGCAAAUCCGCCGGGAUAGUCGAACUUGAUAGUACCGGGCGUCCUCGGACAACCGGAUAGCGAUGGUAAUCAGACUCCCAAGAAAAUCCGCUAAACAUAUGCUACAUUCACCCGUACCCCAAACGGACACACGUGGUUGGGUAGAAUAUACCAAGGCGCUCGAGAGAUUCACGGUUAAGGAACUAGGCAAAUUGACCCUGUAACUUCGGGAGAAAGGGUCCCGACUGAAAGAAGUCGGGCGCAGAGAAUAGGUCCAGGCAACUGUUUAACAAAAACACAGGGCUGUGCGAAAUUGGAAGAUGAAGUAUACAGCCUGACACCUGCCCGGUGCUGGAAGGUUAAGAGGAGACGUCAUCGCAAGAGAAGCGUAGAAUUGAAGCCCCAGUAAACGGCGGCCGUAACUAUAACGGUCCUAAGGUAGCGAAAUUCCUUGUCGGGUAAGUUCCGACCUGCACGAAUGGUGCAAUGAUCUGGACACUGUCUCAACCGUGAGCUCGGUGAAAUUGUAGUAUCGGUGAAGAUGCCGAUUACCCGCAACGGGACGGAAAGACCCCGUGAACCUUUACUGCAACUUAGCAUUGAAUUUGGGUACUUGAUGUGUAGGAUAGUCCGGAGGCAGAGAAUUGGGUACGCCAGUAUCCGAGGAGCCGCUGUUGAAAUACGGACCUUUGAUUAUUUGAAUUCUAACUCUGUAUUAGAGAGGACACUGCUUGGUGGGUAGUUUGACUGGGGUGGUCGCCUCCAAAAGCGUAACGGAGGCUUCUAAAGGUACCCUCAGGCCGAUUGGUAACCGGCCGUAGAGUGUAAUGGCACAAGGGUGCUUGACUGAGAGACCGACACGUCGAUCAGGUAGGAAACUAGAGCAUAGUGAUCCGGUGGUUCCGCAUGGAAGGGCCAUCGCUCAAAGGAUAAAAGGUACUCCGGGGAUAACAGGCUGAUCGCUCCCAAGAGCUCAUAUCGACGGAGCGGUUUGGCACCUCGAUGUCGGCUCGUCACAUCCUGGGGCUGGAGAAGGUCCCAAGGGUUGGGCUGUUCGCCCAUUAAAGUGGCACGCGAGCUGGGUUCAGAACGUCGUGAGACAGUUCGGUCCCUAUCUGUUGUGGGCGCAGGAAAUUUGCGAGGCUCUGACACUAGUACGAGAGGACCGUGUUGGACCGGCCGCUGGUUUAUCAGUUGUUCCGCCAGGAGCACUGCUGAGUAGCUAAGCCGGGAUUGGAUAAGUGCUGAAAGCAUCUAAGUACGAAGCCAGCCUCAAGAUAAGAUUUCCCUAGAGGGUCGUUGCAGACGACGACGUAGAUAGGUUGCAGGUGUAAAGGCAGUAAUGCCAAAGCCGAGCAAAACUAAUCACCCGAGACU